This is a long non-coding RNA of Cyprinus carpio carpio, 510 nucleotides long. Lineage: Eukaryota; Metazoa; Chordata; Actinopteri; Cypriniformes; Cyprinidae. The record is from Ensembl.
CGGCAAUUAACGGGUUAAUCCGAAGCAUCAAGACUUUGAAAUCACAUACACAGAACAAUAUUCAUUAAGAAAGUGAAAUUAAAUGAUUAAUAAACUAUUUAUUCGAACCCUUGCUAUUUUCUAUUCUAAUAAGAGUCUUGGCUGUGGAACACCUGUAAUAGAGUUGGCUAGCUGGAUGCAAAUAAAGUCAUGCCUUUUAUUUGUUCCCCUGUUUGCUAUUUCACAUUCCUGUCACUGAAGCGUUGUGGCCAAAGACACAGAAGGUAACUGAAACAAUGUGGUUUAAGUCCAGGUGAUCAUAAGGGGUCCAAGCACAAUGGUUUGUGUAGAUGAUGCAGUUACACAAUGGAUGUGUCUCUUUUCAAGUAAAUUAUUAUAUGCACAACAUGAAAAUAGAUAACAAAUAUAGUGUCCCUUCUUCACUUUCUCAGUAAUGCGUGAUAACUUGAGAAAUAUGUUGUCAAUACUAUUAAAAUAAGACAAAAAAGUAAUGGUAUUUAGGAGAUGAUA